UUAAAUUGAAGAGUUUGAUCAUGGCUCAGAUUGAACGCUGGCGGCAGGCCUAACACAUGCAAGUCGAACGGUAACAGGAAGCAGCUUGCUGCUUCGCUGACGAGUGGCGGACGGGUGAGUAAUGUCUGGGAAACUGCCUGAUGGAGGGGGAUAACUACUGGAAACGGUGGCUAAUACCGCAUAACGUCGCAAGACCAAAGAGGGGGACCUUCGGGCCUCUUGCCAUCAGAUGUGCCCAGAUGGGAUUAGCUAGUUGGUGAGGUAACGGCUCACCAAGGCGACGAUCCCUAGCUGGUCUGAGAGGAUGACCAGCCACACUGGAACUGAGACACGGUCCAGACUCCUACGGGAGGCAGCAGUGGGGAAUAUUGCACAAUGGGCGCAAGCCUGAUGCAGCCAUGCCGCGUGUAUGAAGAAGGCCUUCGGGUUGUAAAGUACUUUCAGCGGGGAGGAAGGUGUUGUGGUUAAUAACCACAGCAAUUGACGUUACCCGCAGAAGAAGCACCGGCUAACUCCGUGCCAGCAGCCGCGGUAAUACGGAGGGUGCAAGCGUUAAUCGGAAUUACUGGGCGUAAAGCGCACGCAGGCGGUCUGUCAAGUCGGAUGUGAAAUCCCCGGGCUCAACCUGGGAACUGCAUUCGAAACUGGCAGGCUUGAGUCUUGUAGAGGGGGGUAGAAUUCCAGGUGUAGCGGUGAAAUGCGUAGAGAUCUGGAGGAAUACCGGUGGCGAAGGCGGCCCCCUGGACAAAGACUGACGCUCAGGUGCGAAAGCGUGGGGAGCAAACAGGAUUAGAUACCCUGGUAGUCCACGCCGUAAACGAUGUCUACUUGGAGGUUGUGCCCUUGAGGCGUGGCUUCCGGAGCUAACGCGUUAAGUAGACCGCCUGGGGAGUACGGCCGCAAGGUUAAAACUCAAAUGAAUUGACGGGGGCCCGCACAAGCGGUGGAGCAUGUGGUUUAAUUCGAUGCAACGCGAAGAACCUUACCUGGUCUUGACAUCCACAGAACUUUCCAGAGAUGGAUUGGUGCCUUCGGGAACUGUGAGACAGGUGCUGCAUGGCUGUCGUCAGCUCGUGUUGUGAAAUGUUGGGUUAAGUCCCGCAACGAGCGCAACCCUUAUCCUUUGUUGCCAGCGGUUAGGCCGGGAACUCAAAGGAGACUGCCAGUGAUAAACUGGAGGAAGGUGGGGAUGACGUCAAGUCAUCAUGGCCCUUACGACCAGGGCUACACACGUGCUACAAUGGCGCAUACAAAGAGAAGCGACCUCGCGAGAGCAAGCGGACCUCAUAAAGUGCGUCGUAGUCCGGAUUGGAGUCUGCAACUCGACUCCAUGAAGUCGGAAUCGCUAGUAAUCGUGGAUCAGAAUGCCACGGUGAAUACGUUCCCGGGCCUUGUACACACCGCCCGUCACACCAUGGGAGUGGGUUGCAAAAGAAGUAGGUAGCUUAACCUUCGGGAGGGCGCUUACCACUUUGUGAUUCAUGACUGGGGUGAAGUCGUAACAAGGUAACCGUAGGGGAACCUGCGGUUGGAUCACCUCCUUACCUUAAAGAA
RNAcentral lists this ribosomal RNA (1554 nucleotides) under Salmonella enterica subsp. enterica serovar Heidelberg. Its description in RNAcentral is "bacterial SSU rRNA". It matches the Rfam family "Bacterial small subunit ribosomal RNA". Lineage: Bacteria; Pseudomonadati; Pseudomonadota; Gammaproteobacteria; Enterobacterales; Enterobacteriaceae. RNAcentral also lists the same sequence under 2 other names. The record is from RNAcentral.